CAGCUAAAGCAUGGUCCAAUCCGGUCUUAUCCCUAAUUCCAGUGUUGAGCCUGCCUUGCAGUCCAUAAGAAGCGGGGUGUGAAUCGUGCGCCAUCCUCGUCCCUACCUCAUCAUGCAGCAGACAUGCAGAAGCACCAGGGAGAUGAGGGACUUCAUCCCUGAAGUGUCAGAAAAUUCUCCAUUAGAGAACAGUGGGAGAAGUGAGAACCUUCAUUAACGCUGUCAACAACUUAGGCCAAGAGAAGGGAAGGCCCUUCCAAGCCUGAAUCUAUGAGAAAGAUCCACCAUGAGAGGAAUCGAUUCCUGCUGCACCAGUGAUAACGAGAGAGGAGAUAUGACGCUGACUGACUCCUUCUGUGGCUGUUUCCCUGUGGCUCACCUCAGAGGCAAGCACGUCGCACAUAUGCGUGGAGAUGAUACGAUCUUAACUUGGGCAGAAGAUAGAGCAUUGCUGCUAUUAGGAAAGCUUUGUUCUUGCCCUUUCCACAACAUUAGCCCCUGCCAUUAUUAUUGUGCCGAGAAGCAUUUGGCUUUUUUUCUUGAGCCUGCUAUUGUAUGACAUUGCAAGAACCACA
This 575-nucleotide long non-coding RNA is filed under the name Fukomys damarensis (Damara mole-rat). RNAcentral's name for it is "lncRNA (ENSFDAG00000027101.1)". The record is from RNAcentral. Lineage: Eukaryota; Metazoa; Chordata; Mammalia; Rodentia; Bathyergidae.